GCGAGUCAACAUAGCAAUAUGUGGCAUACGGCUCAGUAACACGUAGUCAACAUGCCCAGGGGACGUGGAUAACCUCGGGAAACUGAGGAUAAACCGCGAUAGGUCAUCACUUCUGGAAUGGGUAAUGGCUUAAAUCUACAUGGCCCCUGGAUUGGACUGCGGCCGAUCAGGCUGUUGGUGAGGUAAUGGCCCACCAAACCUGUAACCGGUACGGGCUCUGAGAGGAGGAGCCCGGAGAUGGGCACUGAGACAAGGGCCCAGGCCCUAUGGGGCGCAGCAGGCGCGAAACCUCUGCAAUAGGCGAAAGCUUGACAGGGUUACUCUGAGUGAUUUCCGUUAAGGAGAUCUUUUGGCACCUCUAAAAAUGGUGCAGAAUAAGGGGUGGGCAAGUCUGGUGUCAGCCGCCGCGGUAAUACCAGCACCCCGAGUGGUCGGGACGUUUAUUGGGCCUAAAGCAUCCGUAGCCGGUUCUACAAGUCUUCCGUUAAAUCCACCUGCUUAACAGAUGGGCUGCGGAAGAUACUAUAGAGCUAGGAGGCGGGAGAGGCAAGCGGUACUCGAUGGGUAGGGGUAAAAUCCGUUGAUCCAUUGAAGACCACCAGUGGCGAAGGCGGCUUGCCAGAACGCGCUCGACGGUGAGGGAUGAAAGCUGGGGGAGCAAACCGGAUUAGAUACCCGGGUAGUCCCAGCUGUAAACGAUGCAGACUCGGUGAUGAGUUGGCUUAUUGCUAACUCAGUGCCGCAGGGAAGCCGUUAAGUUUGCCGCCUGGGGAGUACGGUCGCAAGACUGAAACUUAAAGGAAUUGGCGGGGGAGCACCACAAGGGGUGAAGCCUGCGGUUCAAUUGGAUUCAACGCCGGG
Molecule: ribosomal RNA, 861 nt
Filed under: uncultured archaeon
Lineage: Archaea
Description: bacterial SSU rRNA
Rfam family: Archaeal small subunit ribosomal RNA
Source: RNAcentral